Molecule: ribosomal RNA, 1346 nt
Filed under: uncultured bacterium
Lineage: Bacteria
Description: partial 16S ribosomal RNA
Rfam family: Bacterial small subunit ribosomal RNA
Source: RNAcentral
GACGAACGCUGGCGGCGUGCUUAACACAUGCAAGUCGAACGGAAAGGCCCUGCUUUUGUGGGGUGCUCGAGUGGCGAACGGGUGAGUAACACGUGAGUAACCUGCCCUUGACUUUGGGAUAACUUCAGGAAACUGGGGCUAAUACCGGAUAGGAGCUCCUGCUGCAUGGUGGGGGUUGGAAAGUUUCGGCGGUUGGGGAUGGACUCGCGGCUUAUCAGCUUGUUGGUGGGGUAGUGGCUUACCAAGGCUUUGACGGGUAGCCGGCCUGAGAGGGUGACCGGCCACAUUGGGACUGAGAUACGGCCCAGACUCCUACGGGAGGCAGCAGUGGGGAAUAUUGCACAAUGGGCGGAAGCCCGAUGCAGCAACGCCGCGUGCGGGAUGACGGCCUUCGGGUUGUAAACCGCUUUCGCCUGUGACGAAGCGUGAGUGACGGUAAUGGGUAAAGAAGCACCGGCUAACUACGUGCCAGCAGCCGCGGUGAUACGUAGGGUGCGAGCGUUGUCCGGAUUUAUUGGGCGUAAAGGGCUCGUAGGUGGUUGAUCGCGUCGGAAGUGUAAUCUUGGGGCUUAACCCUGAGCGUGCUUUCGAUACGGGUUGACUUGAGGAAGGUAGGGGAGAAUGGAAUUCCUGGUGGAGCGGUGGAAUGCGCAGAUAUCAGGAGGAACACCAGUGGCGAAGGCGGUUCUCUGGGCCUUUCCUGACGCUGAGGAGCGAAAGCGUGGGGAGCGAACAGGCUUAGAUACCCUGGUAGUCCACGCUGUAAACGGUGGGUACUAGGUGUGGGGUCCAUUCCACGGGUUCCGUGCCGUAGCUAACGCUUUAAGUACCCCGCCUGGGGAGUACGGCCGCAAGGCUAAAACUCAAAGGAAUUGACGGGGCCCCGCACAAGCGGCGGAGCAUGCGGAUUAAUUCGAUGCAACGCGUAGAACCUUACCUGGGUUUGACAUGAAUCGGGAGUGCUCAGAGAUGGGUGUGCCUCUUUUGGGGUCGGUUCACAGGUGGUGCAUGGCUGUCGUCAGCUCGUGUCGUGAGAUGUUGGGUUAAGUCCCGCAACGAGCGCAACCCUUGUUCACUGUUGCCAGCACGUUAUGGUGGGGACUCAGUGGAGACCGCCGGGGUCAACUCGGAGGAAGGUGGGGAUGACGUCAAGUCAUCAUGCCCCUUAUGUCCAGGGCUUCACGCAUGCUACAAUGGCUGGUACAGAGAGUGGCGAGCCUGUGAGGGUGAGCGAAUCUCGGAAAGCCGGUCUCAGUUCGGAUUGGGGUCUGCAACUCGACCUCAUGAAGUCGGAGUCGCUAGUAAUCGCAGAUCAGCAACGCUGCGGUGAAUACGUUCCCGGGGCU